AUUCCAAUCGAACUCGGAGAUAGCUGGUUCUCCCCGAAAUAGCUUUAGGGCUAGCCUCAUAUUAGAUACCCGGAGGUAAAGCACUGAAUGGCCUAGCGCCCGAGAGGGUAGCGAAGCCUAUCAAACUAAGAAUGCCGGAGUAUUGAUGUAUGGGAGUCAGACAGUGUGAGAUAAAUCUCAUUGUCAAAAGGGAAACAGCCCAGAUCUACAGCUAAGGUCCCAAAUUGUAUCUAAGUGGAAAACGAUGUGGAAAUACGCAGACAACCAGGAUGUUGGCUCAGAAGCAGCCACUCAUUUAAAGAGUGCGUAAUAGCUCACUGGUCGAGCGUCUCUGCGCGGAAAAUUUAACGGGGCUAAGAUACAAACCGAAGCUUAGGCUGCAUCGUAAGAUGCGGGGUAGGGGAGCGUUGUGUAAGCGGAGAAACAGUAGCGUAAGCGGCUGUGGAGUUUACAGAAGUGAGAAUGCCGGAAUGAGUAGCGCGAAUGUGGUGAGAAUCCACAUGGCCGGAAACCUCAGGUUUUUGGAGGAAGGUUCGUCCGCUCCAAGUUAGGCGGGAGCUAAGGUCAGGCCGCAAGGCGUAGCCGAUGCACAGACGGUAGAGAUUCCGUCCCCACCGAAAGAUUUAAGCACAGGGACACUUUUAGAAGGUCGGAGCCAGGUGUUGGUUCUGGUAGUGAUCGAGGGAAAUAUAGUACCGAAGUCCGGCUGGAUGAGAGGCGAGAAAAGCUGUGUGUAUAUCUAAGGUGCCCGUACCGCAAACCGACACAGGUAGGUAGGAAGAAGAUUCUAAGGCCAACGGGAGAAGGGUUGUUAAGGAACUCGGCAAGUUGACCCCGUAACUUCGGAAUAAGGGGUGCUCACGAGAGUGAGCCGCAGAGAAUAGGCCCAGGCAACUGUUUACCAAAAACACAGGUUUGUGCUAAAUCGAAAGAUGACGUAUACGAGCUGACGCCUGCCCGGUGCUGGAAGGUUAAAAGGAGAUGUGCAAGCAUUGAAUUGAAGCCCCAGUGAACGGCGGCCGUAACUAUAACGGUCCUAAGGUAGCGAAAUUCCUUGUCAGGUAAGUUCUGACCCGCAUGAAAGGCGUAAUGAUUUGGGCACUGUCUCAACAGCCCGCCCGGCGAAAUUGUAGUACCGGUGAAGAUGCCGGUUACCCGCGACAAGACGGAAAGACCCCAUGGAGCUUUACUGUAGCCUGAUAUUGGGUUUCGGUGUUGCAUGCACAGGAUAGAUGGGACACUGGGAAGCGAGCGCUUUGGCGUUCGUGGAGUGGACGUUGGGAUACCAUCCUUGCGACAUUGGAAUUCUAACCUGCGCCUCUGAAUCGAGGCGGGGGACAUUGUCAGGUGGGCAGUUUGACUGGGGCGGUCGCCUCCUAAAAAGUAGCGGAGGCGUUCAAAGGUUCGUUCGAUCUGGACGGAAACCAGAUGAAUGAGUGCAAACGCAUAAACGAGCCUGACUGCGAGACUGACGGGUCGAGCAGAGACGAAAGUCGGAGUUAGUGAUCCGGUGGUAUGUGAGUGGAAAUGCCAUCGCUCAACGGAUAAAAGUUACCCUGGGGAUAACAGGCUGAUCUCCCCCAAGAGUCCACAUCGACGGGGAGGUUUGGCACCUCGAUGUCGGCUCAUCGCAUCCUGGGGCUGUAUUCGGUCCCAAGGGUUUGGCUGUUCGCCAAUUAAAGCGGUACGCGAGCUGGGUUCAGAACGUCGUGAGACAGUUCGGUCCCUAUCUGUCGUGGGCGCAGGAUAUUUGAAAGGCGCUGUCCCUAGUACGAGAGGACCGGGAUGGACGAACCUCUGGUGCACCAGUUGUCACGCCAGUGGCACAGCUGGGCAGCUAUGUUCGGAUCGGAUAAACGCUGAAAGCAUCUAAGCGUGAAGCCGGCCUUAAGAUAAGAUAUCCCACUGAGUCAAUCAGGUAAGACCCCUUGAAGACUACAAGGUUGAUAGGCACACAGUGUAAGCGGAGUGAUCCGUUCAGCUAGCGUGUACUAAUAGGUCGAGGGCUUGACCCC
Molecule: ribosomal RNA, 2015 nt
Filed under: human gut metagenome
Description: bacterial LSU rRNA
Rfam family: Bacterial large subunit ribosomal RNA
Source: RNAcentral